RNAcentral lists this transfer RNA (82 nucleotides) under Xylaria sp. FL0043. RNAcentral describes it as "tRNA-Glu". The record is from RNAcentral. Lineage: Eukaryota; Fungi; Ascomycota; Sordariomycetes; Xylariales; Xylariaceae.
UCCGAAUUGGUGUAGUGGCUAACAUUUGACGCUCUCAUUAUACGGUGCCGUCAAGCCCGGGGUUCGAUUCCCCGAUUCGGAG